GAUGAACGCUGGCGGCGUGCUUAACACAUGCAAGUCGAACGAAGCACUUCAUAAAGCUUGCUUUAGGAAGUGACUUAGUGGCGGACGGGUGAAUAACGCGUGGGUAACCUGCCUUACACAGGGGGAUAACAGUUAGAAAUGACUGCUAAUACCGCAUAAAACAGCAGAGUCGCAUGACUCAACUGUCAAAGAUUUAUCGGUGUAAGAUGGACCCGCGUCUGAUUAGCUUGUUGGUGGGGUAACGGCCUACCAAGGCGACGAUCAGUAGCCGGCCUGAGAGGGUGAACGGCCACAUUGGGACUGAGACACGGCCCAAACUCCUACGGGAGGCAGCAGUGGGGAAUAUUGGACAAUGGGCGAAAGCCUGAUCCAGCGACGCCGCGUGAGCGAUGAAGUAUUUCGGUAUGUAAAGCUCUAUCAGCAGGGAAGAAAACGACGGUACCUGACUAAGAAGCCCCGGCUA
RNAcentral lists this ribosomal RNA (463 nucleotides) under uncultured bacterium. RNAcentral describes it as "bacterial SSU rRNA". It matches the Rfam family "Bacterial small subunit ribosomal RNA", at positions 28 to 499 of the family's 1533-position model. The record is from RNAcentral.